RNAcentral lists this ribosomal RNA (446 nucleotides) under uncultured bacterium. Its description in RNAcentral is "partial 16S ribosomal RNA". It matches the Rfam family "Bacterial small subunit ribosomal RNA", at positions 29 to 523 of the family's 1533-position model. The record is from RNAcentral.
AGCGAACGCUGGCGGCAGGCCUAACACAUGCAAGUCGAGCGCCCAGCAAUGGGAGCGGCAGACGGGUGAGUAACGCGUGGGGAUGUGCCCAAUGGUGCGGAAUAACCCAGGGAACUUGGAUUAAUACCGCAUGUGCCCUUCGGGGGAAAGAUUUAUCGCCAUUGGAUCAACCCGCGUCUGAUUAGCUAGUUGGUGAGGUAAAGGCUCACCAAGGCGACGAUCAGUAGCUGGUCUGAGAGGAUGAUCAGCCACACUGGGACUGAGACACGGCCCAGACUCCUACGGGAGGCAGCAGUGGGGAAUAUUGGACAAUGGGCGCAAGCCUGAUCCAGCCAUGCCGCGUGAGUGAUGAAGGCCUUAGGGUUGUAAAGCUCUUUCGCCGGUGAAGAUAAUGACGGUAACCGGAGAAGAAGCCCCGGCUAACUUCGUGCCAGCAGCCGCAGUAA